This 468-nucleotide ribosomal RNA is filed under the name uncultured bacterium. RNAcentral describes it as "partial 16S ribosomal RNA". It matches the Rfam family "Bacterial small subunit ribosomal RNA", at positions 28 to 507 of the family's 1533-position model. The record is from RNAcentral.
GAUGAACGCUGGCGGCGUGCUUAACACAUGCAAGUCGAACGGUGAAGGCGGAGCUUGCUCUGCUGGAUCAGUGGCGAACGGGUGAGUAACACGUGAGCAAUCUGCCCCUGACUCUGGGAUAAGCGCUGGAAACGGCGUCUAAUACUGGAUACGAGCUGCGAAGGCAUCUUCAGCAGCUGGAAAGAACUUCGGUCAGGGAUGAGCUCGCGGCCUAUCAGCGUGUUGGUGAGGUAACGGCUCACCAAGGCGUCGACGGGUAGCCGGCCUGAGAGGGUGACCGGCCACACUGGGACUGAGACACGGCCCAGACUCCUACGGGAGGCAGCAGUGGGGAAUAUUGCACAAUGGGCGAAAGCCGGAUGCAGCAACGCCGCGUGAGGGACGACGGCCUUCGGGUUGUAAACCUCUUUUAGCAGGGAAGAAGCGAAAGUGACGGUACCUGCAGAAAAAGCGCCGGCUAACUACGUG